AAAUGGAGUGGUGUUGUGUGAGUAAACAGAAGUCAUGGUUGUUGAUGAUAUUGAUGAUGAUGAUACAUACUUUCAUGGUUUGGCAAACACACAGUGUUUGUAUACAAGAUAAGAGAAAGUCACUACUCAAACUCAAAGCUUACCUUAUUGAUUCAUAUGGUGUAGACCCUCUCCCCACUUGGGUUGAUGACGGUGGCACCCGCGAGUGUUGUGAUUGGGAGAGGCUCAUGUGCAACACAACCACCGGGCAUGUAACGAACUUGUCUUUAAUUAAGCAACAUGAUGGGGAUGGCAGAUAACACGGGGAGGGUCGUUAAACCUUGCGAGAGGAUGUGGUCGUUCAAUGUCUCUCUCUUUCUUCAUUUUAAAGAGUUAACGAGUCUCAAUAUGUCAUACAAUUGUCUUGAUAACAUUGUUGUGAACACAGGUAUUAUAACUUACUAUAUUAGCUUCAUAUGGAUUGUUGAAAUUGAAUUGUUCAAGAAGUUGAAGUUUUUGAAACUUAGGGGUAACGAAAUCAACGAAAGCUUUAACAUCUUUAAGUGCUCUUCCACUGCUUAAAAACCCUUGAUCUUAGUUACAAUUUCUUAAGUGGAUCGUUUCCGGCUCAAGAAGCGGAUGAUGGUGGAUUUUCUAUGUGGCUCCCUGGCUUGAUUUGAGGUCAUGGUGUUGAAGAUUCAACGUUUUUUGUAUAUAACCGACGACGUAAGAAAUGAAAACCCUCUGAAAAUCAACCAAACUCUCAUCUCAAUUGGUGUCAAAUCGGAGGAGACAGUCGGCGAGUUCGCUUCGAGUUUUCAGCAACCAUUGAUUGUAAGAACAAUGCUAUCCUUUAAAUUAAUCAUAUGGUUUCUAUCGUUGUUGGAUUUUACAUCGAUUGGUCC
Long non-coding RNA from Cynara cardunculus var. scolymus (artichoke), 884 nucleotides. RefSeq lists it as uncharacterized. NCBI's taxonomy places the organism in Eukaryota, Viridiplantae, Streptophyta, Magnoliopsida, Asterales, Asteraceae. The record is from RefSeq and is a predicted model, not a curated record. The transcript is spliced from 2 exons.